RNAcentral lists this ribosomal RNA (406 nucleotides) under uncultured bacterium. RNAcentral's name for it is "partial 16S ribosomal RNA". It matches the Rfam family "Bacterial small subunit ribosomal RNA", at positions 30 to 526 of the family's 1533-position model. The record is from RNAcentral.
AUUGAACGCUGGCGGCAGGCCUAACACAUGCAAGUCGAACGAGUGGCGGACGGGUUAGUAAUGUCUGGGAAACUUCCUGAUGGAUGGGGAUCACUACUGGAAACGGUAGCUACUACCGCAUACCAUCAGAUGUGCCCAGAUGGGAGUAGCUAGUUGGUGGGGUAACGGCUCACCAAGGCGACUAUCCCUAGCUGGUCUGAGAGGAUGACCAGGCACACUGGAACUGAGACACGGUCCAGACUCCGACGGGAGGCAGCAGUGGGGAAUAUUGGACAAUGGGCGAAAGCCUGAUACAGCCAUGCCGCGUGUAUGAAGAAGGCCUUCGGAUUGUAAAGUACUUUCAGCGGGGAGGCGUUACCCACAGAAGAAGCACCGGCUAACUCCGUGCCAGCAGCCGCGGUAAUUC